UCGAUGAUGAUCCUUAGAGCGAGCGAUGCGUCCGGUCGAAGUCUUCAUCGGCCGUAAUUGGGACCAAUGGUCGGUGGGACUUUCGUCCGUUUGCAGAACUCGCCAACC
Molecule: microRNA precursor, 108 nt
Filed under: Dinoponera quadriceps
Lineage: Eukaryota; Metazoa; Arthropoda; Insecta; Hymenoptera; Formicidae
Description: microRNA dqu-mir-278 precursor
Gene: dqu-mir-278
Rfam family: mir-278 microRNA precursor family (bases 25-97)
Source: miRBase by way of RNAcentral